UGUUAAUCAGUGCUUUAAGGAUAUUUGUUAAGGAUUUAAUUUUCUUAACAAGUGUCCUUAGGGUGCUUGUUAGCAU
This 76-nucleotide microRNA precursor is filed under the name Medicago truncatula (barrel medic). RNAcentral describes it as "miR5760 stem-loop (mtr-MIR5760)". The record is from miRBase by way of RNAcentral. Lineage: Eukaryota; Viridiplantae; Streptophyta; Magnoliopsida; Fabales; Fabaceae.